UACGUAGGGUCCGAGCGUUGUCCGGAAUUACUGGGCGUAAAGAGCUCGUAGGUGGUUUGUCGCGUUGUUCGUGAAAACUCACAGCUCAACUGUGGGCGUGCGGGCGAUACGGGCAGACUUGAGUACUGCAGGGGAGACUGGAAUUCCUGGUGUAGCGGUGAAAUGCGUAGAUAUCGAGAGGAACACCUGCGGCGAAGGCGGGUUGCUGGGCCGACACUGACGCUGAGGCGCGAAAGCCAGGGGAGCGAACGGG
This 253-nucleotide ribosomal RNA is filed under the name uncultured bacterium. RNAcentral describes it as "partial 16S ribosomal RNA". It matches the Rfam family "Bacterial small subunit ribosomal RNA", at positions 524 to 776 of the family's 1533-position model. The record is from RNAcentral.